Molecule: ribosomal RNA, 448 nt
Filed under: uncultured bacterium
Lineage: Bacteria
Description: bacterial SSU rRNA
Rfam family: Bacterial small subunit ribosomal RNA
Source: RNAcentral
GAUGAACGCUGGCGGCGUGCUUAACACAUGCAAGUCGAACGAGGCACUUUAUUUGAUUUCCUUCGGGACUGAUUAUUUUGUGACUGAGUGGCGGACGGGUGAGUAACGCGUGGGUAACCUGCCUUGUACAGGGGGAUAACAGUUGGAAACGGCUGCUAAUACCGCAUAAGCGCACGGCAUCGCAUGAUGCAGUGUGAAAAACUCCGGUGGUAUAAGAUGGACCCGCGUUGGAUUAGCUAGUUGGUGAGGUAACGGCCCACCAAGGCGACGAUCCAUAGCCGACCUGAGAGGGUGACCGGCCACAUUGGGACUGAGACACGGCCCAAACUCCUACGGGAGGCAGCAGUGGGGAAUAUUGCACAAUGGGCGAAAGCCUGAUGCAGCGACGCCGCGUGAGCGAAGAAGUAUUUCGGUAUGUAAAGCUCUAUCAGCAGGGAAGAUAAUGACG